Molecule: long non-coding RNA, 239 nt
Organism: Prionailurus viverrinus (fishing cat)
Lineage: Eukaryota; Metazoa; Chordata; Mammalia; Carnivora; Felidae
Exons: 3
Source: RefSeq, a predicted model, not a curated record
GCUCUCUCUCCCUGGUAUCUCAACACUGCGUCGGUGCAGUUUGCAGAAAGUUGGAAAGGAAAUCCAGGAGACUCCAUUUACACUUCACCUGUUUUCCCCAGGGGUUACUUCUACAUCUACAUAAUCAUAGAACAAUACCAAACCCAAGAGGAUGACACUGGGGGUAGCCUGUGUUAACAAGAAAUGAUCAUCCACAAGCAGACCCACGUUUAUCAAAAUGUGGUUGUGGCCCAUGUGGG